CCUACGGGGCGCUGCAGUGGGGAAUAUUGGACAAUGGGCGAAAGCCUGAUCCAGCCAUGCCGCGUGUGUGAAGAAGGCCUUCGGGUUGUAAAGCACUUUCAGUGGGGAAGAAAGCCUUGGGGCUAAUACCCUCGAGGAAGGACAUCACCCACAGAAGAAGCACCGGCUAACUCCGUGCCAGCAGCCGCGGUAAUACGGAGGGUGCGAGCGUUAAUCGGAAUUACUGGGCGUAAAGCUCGCGUAGGCGGUCUGAUAAGCCGGUUGUGAAAGCCCCGGGCUCAACCUGGGAACGGCAUCCGGAACUGUCAGGCUAGAGUGCAGGAGAGGAAGGUAGAAUUCCCGGUGUAGCGGUGAAAUGCGUAGAGAUCGGGAGGAAUACCAGUGGCGAAGGCGGCCUUCUGGACUGACACUGACGCUGAGGUGCGAAAGCGUGGGUAGCAAACAGGAUUAGAUACCCCGGUAGUC
This 465-nucleotide ribosomal RNA is filed under the name Vreelandella stevensii. RNAcentral's name for it is "partial 16S ribosomal RNA". It matches the Rfam family "Bacterial small subunit ribosomal RNA", at positions 338 to 795 of the family's 1533-position model. The record is from RNAcentral. Lineage: Bacteria; Pseudomonadati; Pseudomonadota; Gammaproteobacteria; Oceanospirillales; Halomonadaceae.